This 253-nucleotide ribosomal RNA is filed under the name uncultured bacterium. RNAcentral describes it as "partial 16S ribosomal RNA". It matches the Rfam family "Bacterial small subunit ribosomal RNA", at positions 524 to 776 of the family's 1533-position model. The record is from RNAcentral.
UACGGAGGGUGCAAGCGUUGCUCGGAAUUAUUGGGCGUAAAGCGUAUGUAGGCGGUUUUCUAAGUCUGAUGUGAAAUCCCAGGGCUUAACUCUGGAACUGCAUUGGAUACUGGAAAGCUAGAGGACGAUAGAGGAUGGUGGAAUUCCUGGUGUAGGGGUGAAAUCCGUAGAUAUCAGGAGGAACAUCAGUGGCGAAGGCGGCCAUCUGGAUCGUACCUGACGCUGAGAUACGAAAGCGUGGGGAGCAAACAGG